UGGCAUAUCUCAUUUCCAUGGAGAUAAUUUGGCUCUGCCCCCUUAGUCAUGGUCUAUUGACUGAAAAUUUUUGUAAGUAAACAUGUAUUAGUUUUUGAUUAGGUCAGUUCAAGGGGAAUCAUUAGUGGUAGGCCAAUGAUAAUUGGUAUUCAAUUGUAUAAGCAUUGGCACAUCUCAUUUCCAAUGAGAAUAUAUGGCCUCACCCCUCAGUCACAGUCUAAUGACUUUGAAACUUAUCUUAGUUCACAUGUAUAAGUUGGUGAUUAGAUCAGUUUAAGAUGAACUGCUAAUGUUAAAUCAAUGAUAUUUGGUAUGCAGGCUUGCAAGUAUUGUUUCCAUGGAGAUUAUAUAGCCCCUACCCCCCUCUUCAUGCUUCACUGACCUUGAAACUUUUACAUAGUUUACAAGUUAAUUUUUGUAUUUAGAUUUGGAAACGACUUAUAAUUAGUCAAUGGUAUUUGGUAUGCAGCUGUAUUAGUAUUGGCUCAUUUCAUUUAUAUGGAGAUUGUUUAGCCAUGUAACUCAGUCAUGGUUCAUGGACUUUGAAUGUUUGCAUAACUUGUGUAAGAUGUUAAGGAAUUGCUAUUUUGAUUUCACCAUUUGCAUAAUCAAAACUGACAAAAAGGUGAGACAUAUCUCUGUGAUAACAGUUUAUUAUAAAGUUUACAUGAAAUUUGAAGGGGAGAUUUUCUUCAAAGACUUGUAAUAAUUUUUUAAAAUUUUAAAUAACAAGACUUCCUCAAUUAUUGAUUGAUGAUUGAUUCUACAGUUAUCCUUUUAAAUAUGUUUAUUUCCAAAUAAAAGUUAAA
RNAcentral lists this long non-coding RNA (809 nucleotides) under Mytilus galloprovincialis (Mediterranean mussel). The record is from RNAcentral. Lineage: Eukaryota; Metazoa; Mollusca; Bivalvia; Mytilida; Mytilidae.